GUGCCAGCAGCCGCGGUAAGACAGAGGGUGCAAACGUUGUUCGGAAUUACUGGGCGUAAAGCGCGUGUAGGCGGCUAUGCAAGUCGGGCGUGAAAUCCCAUGGCUCAACCAUGGAAGUGCACUCGAAACUGCGUAGCUAGAGUCCUGGAGAGGAAGGUGGAAUACUUGGUGUAGAGGUGAAAUUCGUAGAUAUCAAGUGGAACACCGGUGGCGAAGGCGGCCUUCUGGACAGUGACUGACGCUGAGACGCGAAAGCGUGGGGAGCAAACAGGAUUAGAUACCCGAGUAGUCC
RNAcentral lists this ribosomal RNA (292 nucleotides) under uncultured bacterium. RNAcentral describes it as "partial 16S ribosomal RNA". It matches the Rfam family "Bacterial small subunit ribosomal RNA", at positions 505 to 796 of the family's 1533-position model. The record is from RNAcentral.